RNAcentral lists this ribosomal RNA (497 nucleotides) under uncultured bacterium. RNAcentral's name for it is "partial 16S ribosomal RNA". It matches the Rfam family "Bacterial small subunit ribosomal RNA", at positions 28 to 507 of the family's 1533-position model. The record is from RNAcentral.
GAUGAACGCUGGCGGCGUGCCUAAUACAUGCAAGUCGAGCGAACAGACGAGUAGCUUGCUCCUCUGACGUUAGCGGCGGACGGGUGAGUAACACGUGGAUAACCUACCUAUAAGACUGGGAUAACUUCGGGAAACCGGAGCUAAUACCGGAUAACAUGCUGAAACGCAUGGUUCAACAGUGAAAGAUGGUCUUGCUGUCACUUAUAGAUGGAUCCGCGCCGCAUUAGCUAGUUGGUAAGGUAACGGCUUACCAAGGCAACGAUGCGUAGCCGACCUGGGAGGGUGAUCGGCCACACUGGAACUGAGACACGGUCCAGACUCCUACGGGAGGCAGCAGUAGGGAAUCUUCCGCAAUGGGCGAAAGCCUGACGGAGCAACGCCGCGUGAGUGAAGAAGGUCUUCGGAUCGUAAAACUCUGUUAUGAGGGAAGAACAAAUGUGGAAGUAACUAUGCACGUCUUGACGGUACCUAAUCAGAAAGCCACGGCUAACUACGUG